Molecule: ribosomal RNA, 465 nt
Filed under: Vreelandella stevensii
Lineage: Bacteria; Pseudomonadati; Pseudomonadota; Gammaproteobacteria; Oceanospirillales; Halomonadaceae
Description: partial 16S ribosomal RNA
Rfam family: Bacterial small subunit ribosomal RNA
Source: RNAcentral
CCUACGGGUGGCAGCAGUGGGGAAUAUUGGACAAUGGGGGCAACCCUGAUCCAGCCAUGCCGCGUGUGUGAAGAAGGCCCUCGGGUUGUAAAGCACUUUCAGUGAGGAAGAACGCCUGGUGGUUAAUACCCAUCAGGAAAGACAUCACUCAUAGAAGAAGCACCGGCUAACUCCGUGCCAGCAGCCGCGGUAAUACGGAGGGUGCGAGCGUUAAUCGGAAUUACUGGGCGUAAAGCGCGCGUAGGUGGCUUGAUAAGCCGGUUGUGAAAGCCCCGGGCUCAACCUGGGAACGGCAUCCGGAACUGUCAAGCUUGAGUGCAGGAGAGGAAGGUAGAAUUCCCGGUGUAGCGGUGAAAUGCGUAGAGAUCGGGAGGAAUACCAGUGGCGAAGGCGGCCUUCUGGACUGACACUGACACUGAGGUGCGAAAGCGUGGGUAGCAAACAGGAUUAGAUACCCCAGUAGUC